AUGGCCCCCGGGUCUACUUUCCAUCAUAUAAAAUUUCUGGCACCGUUGCCGGGGAGAUCUACGACAAGUCAAGACAUACCAAGUAGCCAUCAUAAACUCUCAUCCCUUGGCUUGCAGGGCAAGAUCAAGAGUCGCGCUAAUCUCGUGGACAGGCCAGCCUGGUACAAGGACAAGGUCUACCCAGAGAACAAGGUACCUGCCCUGGAGCACAACAAGCAAGUGAAAGGAGAGAGCCUGAAUCUGCUCAAGUACAUCGACGACAAUUUCGAUGGCCCAGAAUUGCUCCCUCAUGAUUCUGCAAAGAAGAAAUUUGCCACGGAACUGCUUGCCUACAGCGACAGUUUCAACGCCAGCGCUUUCUUCUCAUGCCUACGCUCCAAGGGAGAUGUGACCGACGAAGCUGUUGCCGCUGUUGAUAAAAUAGAAGCUACCCUGGGAAAGUUCAGCGAUGGCCCAUUCUUCCUUGGCCAGUUUAGUCUGGUCGACAUUGCAUACGUGCCAUUCAUCGAAAGGCUUCAGAUAUCAUAUUCUGGCAUCAAGAACUGCGAUAUCGUUGGCGGAAGACCCAACAUUGGCAGAUUCAUCCAGGUAGUUCCGAAUAAUGUUAGAUGGGAUAUAAUUAACUUCAUAUAUCCUACUCUGAGAACCAAACUAGACCCGCAGUUUUCGCUUGACAUAAUCAAGGAGAAGUUUGGGUGA
This 699-nucleotide ribosomal RNA is filed under the name Triticum aestivum (bread wheat). RNAcentral describes it as "partial small subunit ribosomal RNA". The record is from RNAcentral. Lineage: Eukaryota; Viridiplantae; Streptophyta; Magnoliopsida; Poales; Poaceae.